ACAGGGCGCCAACAAUUCUGUGCUCUCAAACAGCGAGUCAGAUGAUCUUAAAUAGACUUACUGCAUAUUUAAAGUGAAGCAGUGUGUUCGUGUAUUAAAAAAGA
Long non-coding RNA from Thalassophryne amazonica, 104 nucleotides. RefSeq lists it as uncharacterized. NCBI's taxonomy places the organism in Eukaryota, Metazoa, Chordata, Actinopteri, Batrachoidiformes, Batrachoididae. The record is from RefSeq and is a predicted model, not a curated record. The transcript is spliced from 3 exons.